AAUCUUGGAAAAUGUGUAAAAUCCUGAUCCAGUCAUCCCGCGUGUAUGCUGAAGGCCUUCGGGUUGUAAAGUACUUUUGGCAGAAAAGAAAAGGCAUCCACUACUACGCGAUAAUGCUGACGAUCUCUGCAGUUUAAGCACCGGCUAACUACUUGCCAGCUGCCGCGGUAAUACGUAGGGUGCAAUCGGUACUCGGAAUUAAUGGGCGUAAAGCGUGUGUAGGCGGUUCGGAAAGAAAGAUGUGAAAUCCCAGGGCUCAACCUUGGAACUGCAUUUUUAACUGCCGAGCUAGAGUAUGUCAGAGGGGGGUAGAAUUCCACGUGUAGCAGUGAAAUGCGUAGAUAUGUGGCGGAAUACCGAUGGCGAAGGCAGCCCCCUGGGAUAAUACUGACGCUCAGACACGAAAGCGUGGGGAGCAAACAGG
RNAcentral lists this ribosomal RNA (424 nucleotides) under uncultured bacterium. RNAcentral describes it as "partial 16S ribosomal RNA". It matches the Rfam family "Bacterial small subunit ribosomal RNA", at positions 360 to 776 of the family's 1533-position model. The record is from RNAcentral.